RNAcentral lists this ribosomal RNA (539 nucleotides) under uncultured fungus. RNAcentral's name for it is "eukaryotic LSU rRNA". The stretch from base 192 to 337 matches the Rfam family "5.8S ribosomal RNA". The record is from RNAcentral. Lineage: Eukaryota; Fungi.
CUUGGUCAUUUAGAGGAGUAAAAGUCGUAACAAGGUUUCCGUAGGUGAACCUGCGGAAGGAUCAUUACAAAUCUUUUGCGAGUGCUCGUGCUUAACUGUGCGUAGCAUCUCACAACAUUAGCACAAGGUCGCAAGGCCUUGAUGUUUACGCUUGUUUGUUUGACAGAGUUAGUUGAGACAAUAAAAAAGACAACUUUUAACAAUGGAUCUCUUGGCUCUUGCAACGAUGAAGAACGCAGUAAAGUGCGAUAUGUAGUGCGAUUUGCAUGAAUCUGUGAGUCAUCUAAUCUUUGAACGCAACUUGCGCCUCUUACGAGGCAUGUCUGUUUGAGUGCCGUAAUCCUCUGCAGCAAUGCGAUUUGACCCGCGUCUUUGUUGACCGAGUUUAAAGGGAGCUAGAGGAUGGUCAGUUUAGACUAGCCCGAGUGCUAAGCAUUCUUGGGUCUAGCGCUGGAUUGCUCAUUUCAUCUAUUUUUUAUUUUGGCCUCAAAUCAGGCAAGACUACCCGCUGAACUUAAGCAUAUCAAUAAGCGGAGGAA